This 275-nucleotide ribosomal RNA is filed under the name uncultured bacterium. RNAcentral describes it as "partial 16S ribosomal RNA". It matches the Rfam family "Bacterial small subunit ribosomal RNA", at positions 521 to 795 of the family's 1533-position model. The record is from RNAcentral.
UAAUACGGAGGGUGCAAGCGUUAUCCGGAUUCACUGGGUUUAAAGGGUGCGUAGGUGGGCAGGUAAGUCAGUGGUGAAAUCUCCGGGCUUAACUCGGAAACUGCCGUUGAUACUAUCUGUCUUGAAUAUCGUGGAGGUUAGCGGAAUAUGUCAUGUAGCGGUGAAAUGCUUAGAUAUGACAUAGAACACCCAUUGCGAAGGCAGCUAACUACACGAUCAUUGACACUGAGGCACGAAAGCGUGGGGAGCAAACAGGAUUAGAUACCCUGGUAGUC